This 231-nucleotide long non-coding RNA is filed under the name Mytilus galloprovincialis (Mediterranean mussel). Lineage: Eukaryota; Metazoa; Mollusca; Bivalvia; Mytilida; Mytilidae. The record is from RNAcentral.
CGACAGAAUAAGUGAAACUUGGCCAGAAGCUUACCUCUAAAAUAAAGAAAUAUAAAAAAGGUAGAGUUAUUUUUAAAUUCUGUAUUUUACUCAUACAUGGACUUAAGCACUUUUUACAGUAAAAAAAAAACAGUUUUAACACCAACAGCAGGAAUCACAAACGACACUGGUUCCAUAGAUAUCUUUAACGAAUUUUUAUAUAUCUCUGACAGUUUUCGGUUUAUAUCAGAC